RNAcentral lists this long non-coding RNA (451 nucleotides) under Cricetulus griseus (Chinese hamster). RNAcentral's name for it is "lncRNA (ENSCGRG00015021619.2)". Lineage: Eukaryota; Metazoa; Chordata; Mammalia; Rodentia; Cricetidae. The record is from RNAcentral.
GCGCCGCCCCCUCCGGCCGCCCGGGCCGGCCUUCCCCGCUGACUGACAGCGGGACCUCCUCCCGCGGCCAGCCGGGCCUGGGAAGCGGCGCGGAGGCGGCUCCGGCCCUGCCCAGCGCGCGGCCCCCGGAGCUCAGGCCGGGGAGCGGGGGAGGGGGCGGCGUGCACGGGUUCCAAGCCCGAGGCGAGGCGGGAUAACGGGACCCGGAGGCCGAAAGCGGAGCUGGCCGGCAGGGUGCGGGGAGUUGGAGGGGCGAGGCCGGCGGGUAACGGGCUCCUAGGGACCAGCCGCCAAGGCCUGGGUGCAGAGGUCACACGGGGUGCACAGCUGCCUCCUGGUCCACGGCCUCGAUUUUCCUCUACAACCAGACUGUUGUCCUGAGUGUCCUCAGAAAAGUCCAGCCCAUUCUGACUUCUGUGUCCUUGCAUAGGUCACUUACCCGCAGGGCCUG